This 267-nucleotide ribosomal RNA is filed under the name Pseudomonas sp. RNAcentral's name for it is "partial 16S ribosomal RNA". It matches the Rfam family "Bacterial small subunit ribosomal RNA", at positions 840 to 1105 of the family's 1533-position model. The record is from RNAcentral. Lineage: Bacteria; Pseudomonadati; Pseudomonadota; Gammaproteobacteria; Pseudomonadales; Pseudomonadaceae.
UUAGUGGCGCAGCUAACGCACUAAGUUGACCGCCUGGGGAGUACGGACGCAAGAUUAAAACUCAAAUGAAUUGACGGGGGCCCGCACAAGCGGUGGAGCAUGUGGUUUAAUUCGAGGCAACGCGAAGAACCUUACCUGGCCUUGACAUCCAGAGAACUUUCCAGAGAUGGAUUGGUGCCUUCGGGAACUCUGACACAGGUGCUGCAUGGUCUGUCGUCAGCUCGUGUCGUGAGAUGUUGGGUUAAGUCCCGUAACGAGCGCAACCCU